AAAGAAAACCAUCUAUGCCUGUACUGCGCUUCCAAGGAGCAUGAAGUCUCAAGUUGUCCUAUCCUUAAAAAACCUAAGAAAGUGGGAACACCAUCAGCAUCCGCUUGACGCUGUUAUUGACUCGGGAGCUUUCAUGUCAUAUAUUGAUUCUGAUAUAGUUAAGAUUAAUAAAAUACCCUUAAUUAAAAAAAA
Molecule: long non-coding RNA, 192 nt
Organism: Bombina bombina (fire-bellied toad)
Lineage: Eukaryota; Metazoa; Chordata; Amphibia; Anura; Bombinatoridae
Exons: 2
Source: RefSeq, a predicted model, not a curated record